Molecule: non-coding RNA, 889 nt
Organism: Gasterosteus aculeatus aculeatus (three-spined stickleback)
Lineage: Eukaryota; Metazoa; Chordata; Actinopteri; Perciformes; Gasterosteidae
Source: the annotation of a RefSeq genome assembly
GGCUUUGGUCUGCUGUGACAGAACAGUUCAUCCCUCUUUUAUAGCCUCCUUCUAUAUGCAAAGUAAACUUCCUCACAGUCUCCUUUAAAGACUUGAUAUCACGCUGUCAGUCGCAGCAGAAGAGGAGAAGCUCCCAUCAGAUCAACCUCCACACCAACAUGUUCUCUGUAGCUCUACUGCUGCUGCUGGCCGCUGGAUACUGUGUGAAGUGUGAGCAGUUGACGCAGCCGGCCUCUGUGACUGUGCAGCCCGGUCAACGUCUGACCAUCACCUGUCAGGUUUCUUAUGCUCUUAACAGCUACUACACAGCAUGGAUCAGACAGCCUGCAGGGAAAGGACUGGAAUGGAUUGGAAUGAAACAUACUGGAGCGUCAUACUACAAAGACUCACUGAAGAGCAAGUUUAGUAUCGACUUAGAUGCUUCCAGUAAAACAGUGACUCUAAACGGACAGAAUGUGCAGCCUGGAGACACGGCUGUGUAUUACUGUGCUAGAAACCCACAGUAACACAAACCAUCAGUACAGCUGAACAAAAACCUCUCAGUGCCUGAACACUUGUAACACAAAGCCACCAGAGGAGGAGUCCUCAGACCACCAAUGAUUUCACCACCAGCUCACUGUUACAUCACUUUAAAUACCUACAUGUUACAAAUACUAAUAUGCUAUUCUAUAUAUUUAAGAAAAUUCAUAAUUUUACAAGCAAGGAAAAUCAUUUUUUCUUCAGAUUUUAAGUUCUACACUAAGAUCUGAGUUUUAUUAUUAGGGUCCUUGCUUCGACUUGUCUUAGAGGAACCUAUUGUAUUUAUUAUUUACCUCAAGUUACAAGUUACAAUGACUAAUAUGCUGUUCUAUAUAUUUCCUGAAUAAAAAGUUAAUAGCAUGUUCAUUAA